This is a long non-coding RNA of Phascolarctos cinereus (koala), 405 nucleotides long. RefSeq lists it as uncharacterized. NCBI's taxonomy places the organism in Eukaryota, Metazoa, Chordata, Mammalia, Diprotodontia, Phascolarctidae. The record is from RefSeq and is a predicted model, not a curated record.
AAUCAUGCUGAAUGCCUUCUGGGCAGCGAGUGAGAUUGCAACAGCUGGUGCCUCCAUAGCUGAGCUGCCUGCGUUCCAUUACCAACCUCUCCAGCCCUCGGCCUAGUUCUCUGCUCUUGUCUGAAUUUGCCUGAUUUCUUCCUAGUCCCAAAGGUUUCUAGCUGAAUCAUGAACAAUGGGAGCAGAAGAGCUCUUCACUCUGUUGUGAGGUGAUAUUGCUUAUGAUCUUUCACCAUCCUCCGUAAUAUUUUGAAAAGAUGUGUUCUAAAUAAGAGUAAUCUUUCACUGCCAUCUCUCCACUUGACAAGGAGAACAAACAUCAGGUGACUAAAGAAGUUCCUGGGUGCUUUUGGCCUCUUUGUUGUGGCAAUUGUUUUAUGUUGAUUAAAUAUCUGUGGAAAAUGA